RNAcentral lists this ribosomal RNA (261 nucleotides) under uncultured bacterium. RNAcentral's name for it is "partial 16S ribosomal RNA". It matches the Rfam family "Bacterial small subunit ribosomal RNA", at positions 524 to 784 of the family's 1533-position model. The record is from RNAcentral.
UACGAAGGGGGCUAGCGUUGUUCGGAUUUACUGGGCGUAAAGCGCACGCAGGCGGUCUUUUUAGUCAGAAGUGAAAGUCCUGGGCUCAACCUGGGGAUUGCUUUUGAUACUGGAAGACUAGGGUUCGCGAGAGGAUGGCGGAAUUCCCAGUGUAGAGGUGAAAUUCGUAGAUAUUCGGAAGAACACCAGUGGCGAAGGCGACAUACUGGUCCGUUACUGACGCUGAGGCUCGAAAGCGUGGGGAGCAAACAGGAUUAGAAA